This 253-nucleotide ribosomal RNA is filed under the name uncultured bacterium. Its description in RNAcentral is "partial 16S ribosomal RNA". It matches the Rfam family "Bacterial small subunit ribosomal RNA", at positions 524 to 776 of the family's 1533-position model. The record is from RNAcentral.
GACGAACUGUCCUAACGUUGUUCGGAAUCACUGGGCUUAAAGGGCGCGUAGGCGGUCCGACAAGUCGGGGGUGAAAUCCUGCAGCUUAACUGCAGAAGUGCCUUCGAUACUGUCGGUCUUGAGGGAAAUAGGGGUGUGCGGAACUUCCGGUGGAGCGGUGAAAUGCGUUGAUAUCGGAAGGAACGCCGGUGGCGAAAGCGGCGCACUGGAUUUCUUCUGACGCUGAGGCGCGAAAGCUAGGGGAGCAAACGGG